AUUGAACGCUGGCGGCAGGCCUAACACAUGCAAGUCGAGCGGAUGAAGGGAGCUUGCUCCUGGAUUCAGCGGCGGACGGGUGAGUAAUGCCUAGGAAUCUGCCUGGUAGUGGGGGAUAACGUCCGGAAACGGGCGCUAAUACCGCAUACGUCCUGAGGGAGAAAGUGGGGGAUCUUCGGACCUCACGCUAUCAGAUGAGCCUAGGUCGGAUUAGCUAGUUGGUGGGGUAAAGGCCUACCAAGGCGACGAUCCGUAACUGGUCUGAGUGGAUGAUCAGUCACACUGGAACUGAGACACGGUCCAGACUCCUACGGGAGGCAGCAGUGGGGAAUAUUGGACAAUGGGCGAAAGCCUGAUCCAGCCAUGCCGCGUGUGUGAAGAAGGUCUUCGGAUUGUAAAGCACUUUAAGUUGGAAGGAAGGGCAGUAAGUUAAUACCUUGCUGUUUUGACGUUACCAACAGAAUAAGCACCGGCUAACUUCGUG
This 484-nucleotide ribosomal RNA is filed under the name uncultured bacterium. RNAcentral describes it as "partial 16S ribosomal RNA". It matches the Rfam family "Bacterial small subunit ribosomal RNA", at positions 30 to 507 of the family's 1533-position model. The record is from RNAcentral.